GCGUCCGAGGUGUUCUCGGCUGCAUGCCUGGCUUCCAACCAGGUGGAGCGGGUUCGAAUCCCGCCGGGCGCACCA
RNAcentral lists this transfer RNA (75 nucleotides) under Myxococcales bacterium. RNAcentral's name for it is "tRNA-Gly". It matches the Rfam family "tRNA". From Rfam's summary of the family: Transfer RNA (tRNA) molecules are approximately 80 nucleotides in length. Their secondary structure includes four short double-helical elements and three loops (D, anti-codon, and T loops). The record is from RNAcentral. Lineage: Bacteria; Pseudomonadati; Myxococcota; Myxococcia; Myxococcales.